AACGAACGCUGGCGGCAGGCCUAACACAUGCAAGUCGAGCGGGGGGGUAACCCCUAGCGGCGGACGGGUGAGUAACGCGUGGGAACGUGCCCUUUGCUUCGGAAUAGCCCCUGGAAACGGGGAGUAAUACCGGAUGUGCCCUACGGGGGAAAGAAUUUCGGCAAAGGAUCGGCCCGCGUUGGAUUAGGUAGUUGGUGGGGUAAUGGCCUACCAAGCCGACGAUCCAUAGCUGGUUUGAGAGGAUGAUCAGCCACACUGGGACUGAGACACGGCCCAGACUCCUACGGGAGGCAGCAGUGGGGAAUCUUAGACAAUGGCGCAAGCCUGAUCUAGCCAUGCCGCGUGAGCGAUGAAGGCCUUAGGGUUGUAAAGCUCUUUCGUGGGGGGAAGAUAAUGACGGUACCCCAAGAAGAAGCCCCCGGCUAACUCCGUGCCAGCAGCCGCGGUAAU
RNAcentral lists this ribosomal RNA (450 nucleotides) under uncultured bacterium. RNAcentral's name for it is "bacterial SSU rRNA". It matches the Rfam family "Bacterial small subunit ribosomal RNA", at positions 29 to 524 of the family's 1533-position model. The record is from RNAcentral.